GACGAACGCUGGCGGCGUGCCUAAUACAUGCGAGUAGAACGCUGAAGCUUGGUGCUUGCCCCGAGCGGAUGAGUUGCGAACGGGUGAGUAACGCGUAGGUAACCUGCCUGGUAGCGGGGGAUAACUAUUGGAAACGAUAGCUAAUACCGCAUAACAGUAGAUAUCGCAUGAUAGCUACUUGAAAGGUGCAAAUGCACCACUACCAGAUGGACCUGCGUUGUAUUAGCUAGUUGGUGAGGUAACGGCUCACCAAGGCAACGAUACAUAGCCGACCUGAGAGGGUGAGCAGCCACACUGGGACUGAGACACGGCCCAGACUCCUACGGGAGGCAGCAGUAGGGAAUCUUCGGCAAUGGACGGAAGUCUGACCGAGCAACGCCGCGUGAGUGAAGAAGGUUUUCGGAUCGUAAAGCUCUGUUGUAAGAGAAGAACGAGUGUGAGAGUGGAAAGUUCACACUGUGACGGUAUCUUACCAGAAAGGGACGGCUAACUACGUG
This 497-nucleotide ribosomal RNA is filed under the name uncultured bacterium. Its description in RNAcentral is "partial 16S ribosomal RNA". It matches the Rfam family "Bacterial small subunit ribosomal RNA", at positions 28 to 507 of the family's 1533-position model. The record is from RNAcentral.